AGAGUUUGAUCCUGGCUCAGGAUGAACGCUGGCGGCGUGCCUAACACAUGCAAGUUGAGCGAUUUACUUCGGUAAAGAGCGGCGGACGGGUGAGUAACGCGUGGGUAACCUACCCUGUACACACGGAUAACAUACCGAAAGGUAUGCUAAUACGGGAUAAUAUAUUUGAGAGGCAUCUCUUGAAUAUCAAAGGUGAGCCAGUACAGGAUGGACCCGCGUCUGAUUAGCUAGUUGGUAAGGUAACGGCUUACCAAGGCGACGAUCAGUAGCCGACCUGAGAGGGUGAUCGGCCACAUUGGAACUGAGACACGGUCCAAACUCCUACGGGAGGCAGCAGUGGGGAAUAUUGCACAAUGGGCGAAAGCCUGAUGCAGCAACGCCGCGUGAGUGAUGAAGGCCUUCGGGUCGUAAAACUCUGUCCUCAAGGAAGAUAAUGACGGUACUUGAGGAGGAAGCCCCGGCUAACUACGUGCCAGCAGCCGCGGUAAUACGUAGGGGGCUAGCGUUAUCCGGAUUUACUGGGCGUAAAGGGUGCGUAGGCGGUCUUUCAAGUCAGGAGUGAAAGGCUACGGCUCAACCGUAGUAAGCUCUUGAAACUGGGAGACUUGAGUGCAGGAGAGGAGAGUGGAAUUCCUAGUGUAGCGGUGAAAUGCGUAGAUAUUAGGAGGAACACCAGUUGCGAAGGCGGCUCUCUGGACUGUAACUGACGCUGAGGCACGAAAGCGUGGGGAGCAAACAGGAUUAGAUACCCUGGUAGUCCACGCUGUAAACGAUGAGUACUAGGUGUCGGGGGUUACCCCCUU
This 803-nucleotide ribosomal RNA is filed under the name Clostridioides difficile. RNAcentral's name for it is "bacterial SSU rRNA". It matches the Rfam family "Bacterial small subunit ribosomal RNA", at positions 8 to 841 of the family's 1533-position model. The record is from RNAcentral. Lineage: Bacteria; Bacillati; Bacillota; Clostridia; Peptostreptococcales; Peptostreptococcaceae.